Molecule: ribosomal RNA, 487 nt
Filed under: uncultured bacterium
Lineage: Bacteria
Description: partial 16S ribosomal RNA
Rfam family: Bacterial small subunit ribosomal RNA
Source: RNAcentral
GACGAACGCUGGCGGCGUGCUUAACACAUGCAAGUCGAACGGAAAGGCCCCCAUCUUGGUGGGGGUGCUCGAGUGGCGAACGGGUGAGUAACACGUGGGUGAUCUGCCCUGUACUUCGGGAUAAGCUUGGGAAACUGGGUCUAAUACCGGGUAGGACCAUGGUUUAGUGUCUCAUGGUGGAAAGAUUAUUGUUUUGGUGCAGGAUGAGCUCGCGGCCUAUCAGCUUGUUGGUGGGGUAAUGGCCUACCAAGGCGUCGACGGGUAGCCGGCCUGAGAGGGUGGACGGCCACAUUGGGACUGAGAUACGGCCCAGACUCCUACGGGAGGCAGCAGUGGGGAAUAUUGCACAAUGGGCGCAAGCCUGAUGCAGCGACGCCGCGUGGGGGAUGACGGCCUUCGGGUUGUAAACUCCUUUCGUUAGGGACGAAGCCACGCUUUUGGGGUGUGGUGACGGUACCUUUGUUAAGAAGCACCGGCUAACUACGUG